GACGAACGCUGGCGGCGUGCUUAACACAUGCAAGUCGAGCGGUAAGGCCCCUUUCGGGGGUACACGAGCGGCGAACGGGUGAGUAACACGUGGGUGACCUGCCCUCAGCUCUGGGAUAAGCCUGGGAAACCGGGUCUAAUACCGGAUAUGACUCCAUGACGCAUGUUGUGGGGUGAAAGCCUUGUGCGGCUGAGGAUGGGCCCGCGGCC
This 209-nucleotide ribosomal RNA is filed under the name uncultured bacterium. RNAcentral's name for it is "partial 16S ribosomal RNA". It matches the Rfam family "Bacterial small subunit ribosomal RNA", at positions 28 to 238 of the family's 1533-position model. The record is from RNAcentral.